Molecule: ribosomal RNA, 794 nt
Filed under: uncultured bacterium
Lineage: Bacteria
Description: bacterial SSU rRNA
Rfam family: Bacterial small subunit ribosomal RNA
Source: RNAcentral
AGAGUUUGAUCAUGGCUCAGAACGAACGCUGGCGGCGUGCCUGAGACAUGCAAGUCGUGGGAGAAAGUCGUAGCAAUACGGCAAGUAAACCGGCGCACGGGUGAGUAACACGUGGAUAACCUGCCUUAGAGUCUGGGAUAACCCGUCGAAAGACGAGCUAAUACCGGAUAAGACCACGGGAAGUUCGCUUCCUGAGGUAAAAGAUGGCCUCUGCUCCUGCAAGCUAUCACUUUGAGAGGGGUCCGCGUCCUAUCAGCUAGUUGGCGAGGUAACGGCUCACCAAGGCUAAGACGGGUAGCUGGUCUGAGAGGAUGGUCAGCCACACUGGGACUGAGACACGGCCCAGAGUCCUACGGGAUGCAGCAGUCAGGAAUAUUGCGCAAUGGAGGAAACUCUGACGCAGCGACGCCGCGUGGGUGAUGAAGGCCUUCGGGUCGUAAAGCCCUGUCGGAGGGGAAGAAAAGUCUGUUGGCUAAUAUCCAGCGGACCUUUGACGGUACCCUCAAAGGAAGCACCGGCUAACUCCGUACCAGCAGCCGCGGUAAGACGGAGGGUGCAAGCGUUGUUCGGAUUGACUGGGCGUAAAGGGCGUGUAGGCGGUUUGUCAAGUCGGGUGUGAAAGCCUGGGGCUCAGCCCCAGAAGUGCAUCCGAAACUAGCGAGCUAGAGCGCGAUAGUGGAGGGUGGAAUUCCUGGUGUAGCGGUGAAAUGCGUAGAUAUCAGGAGGAACACCGGCGGCGAANGCGGCCCUCUGGAUCGUUGCUGACGCUGAGACGCGAAAGCGUGGGGAGCAAA